This 205-nucleotide unclassified non-coding RNA is filed under the name Hevea brasiliensis (rubber tree). The record is from RNAcentral. Lineage: Eukaryota; Viridiplantae; Streptophyta; Magnoliopsida; Malpighiales; Euphorbiaceae.
GGAUUUGAAAUAGUAGAUCAAGUUCCCUUCUUCUAUUAUGUCCAGCCUGCUCUUUUUGUGGCCUCAGCUGUCUAGCCAGAUCCGACGAUGAUAUUAUUGAUGGGGAUAAAGAUGAGCUUGACGAAGAAACCGACGAAUCCCAUAACGACGAAGCCAAUCGCUGUACGAACCGCGACCUUAGUGAACUCUACAUAAAUCUUUGCGA